UUCGGUGGCACUUCGGCAGCGGGUCCUUCAGUGCUGCCAAACACACCCGGAGUGAAGGACCCGCCGCUGCUUCUACCGCUCCAAGUCUUCGGCGGCAAUUCAGCGGCGGGGGUCCUUCCGUUCCUUGUCUUUGGCGAAGUGCCCCGAAGACCCCAGGCCCCCUGAAUCCAGUGGGCGGCCCUGAGAGAAGGUGGAGACAACAGAGCAGACAAUGGGCGAGACACCCGCUGCAGAGGGUGCUCCAUGGCUGCACUGAGCUAAUUCCUGGAGUGACCAGCAGGAGGCGUUGCAGUGGAAUGUGGAAUGGGGACACCCCCCCCACACAUCUGGAAAGAGUUCCUGCCCCAAAGAGCUUGCAAACUACACAGAUAAAGGGUGUUCCAGAGACGGGUGGAUGGUUCCGUGGAUUUUUACCGUGACUGGAAUACAUACAAGAGAGGUUUUGGCAGCCGGCUGUCAGAAUUCUGGCUGGGGA
This is a long non-coding RNA of Chelonia mydas (Green sea turtle), 475 nucleotides long. RefSeq lists it as uncharacterized. NCBI's taxonomy places the organism in Eukaryota, Metazoa, Chordata, Testudines, Cheloniidae. The transcript is spliced from 3 exons. The record is from RefSeq and is a predicted model, not a curated record.